CCAACAGAGUAAACCUAUCGCAUUCGGUUGUCGCUCUUUUUUGUUUUGUCUUCUUUUGUCUUGUUUGUUUUUACGGUGGUCGCUGUUUCGGUUCAGGUCAAACGCCAACAAAACGGACACAAGCAACGCAUCUGGGGCAACUGCGGCGAGCGUGCGUUGUGUGUGUGUGUGUCUUUGUGUGCGUUUGUGUUUAUCCUUCCCCUGCCUUUCCUGUCUUCGCUGGUGUUGAAGCUUCUUUGUUGUUGUGCCGCUGUACGACUGCGGCUCCCCUUCUCAGUUUGGAGAUUCGAAACGGCACGUUUGUGAGGAGAGCAGUCCUUCUUUUUUUUUUUACGUGCGUGUCGUCUGCGUCGCGGGCCCACACAGAGGCGCACACGAAAUCUAGGGGCGCGCGCGUGCGGUGUGGCAGGCGUUGAAUGCUUCGUAGCAGCACACACCUCGCGAGAGGCUACGGUUGUGGUGUCUUGGCCUGCACGGCGGCGAGGCUAAGGAAGAAGAGCGGGAAAAGUAGUAACCCUUAUCCCACUGCAGCCCGCACGGUCAUCUACUCACACAGAAGGCCUUUGAAGUGCACGGCAACUUCAGCUUUUGCGACUGCUCCCUCCGCCUCGUCCCCUUCUCCCCCUCCCUCUGGUUCACAUCCGCCAUCGACCGCGCCGAGCAG
Molecule: unclassified non-coding RNA, 664 nt
Filed under: Leishmania donovani
Lineage: Eukaryota; Euglenozoa; Kinetoplastea; Trypanosomatida; Trypanosomatidae
Description: gene:unknown
Source: RNAcentral